RNAcentral lists this ribosomal RNA (497 nucleotides) under uncultured bacterium. Its description in RNAcentral is "partial 16S ribosomal RNA". It matches the Rfam family "Bacterial small subunit ribosomal RNA", at positions 28 to 507 of the family's 1533-position model. The record is from RNAcentral.
GAUGAACGCUGGCGGCGUGCCUAAUACAUGCAAGUCGAGCGAACAGAUGAGGAGCUUGCUCCUCUGACGUUAGCGGCGGACGGGUGAGUAACACGUGGAUAACCUACCUAUAAGACUGGGAUAACUUCGGGAAACCGGAGCUAAUACCGGAUAAUAUAUUGAACCGCAUGGUUCAAUAGUGAAAGACGGUUUUGCUGUCACUUAUAGAUGGAUCCGCGCCGCAUUAGCUAGUUGGUAAGGUAACGGCUUACCAAGGCAACGAUGCGUAGCCGACCUGAGAGGCUGAUCGGCCACACGGGAACUGAGACACGGUCCAGACUACUACGGGAGGCAGCAGUAGGGAAUGUUCCGCAAUGGGCGAAAGCCUGACGGAGCAACGCCGCGUGAGUGAUGAAGGUCUUCGGAUCGUAAAACUCUGUUAUUAGGGAAGAACAAAUGUGUAAGUAACUAUGCACGUCUUGACGGUACCUAAUCAGAAAGCCACGGCUAACUACGUG